RNAcentral lists this ribosomal RNA (548 nucleotides) under uncultured bacterium. RNAcentral describes it as "partial 16S ribosomal RNA". It matches the Rfam family "Bacterial small subunit ribosomal RNA", at positions 355 to 893 of the family's 1533-position model. The record is from RNAcentral.
UAGGGAAUCUUCCACAAUGGACGCAAGUCCUGAUGGAGCAACGCCGCGUGAGUGAAGAAGGUUUUCGGACCGUAAAGCUCUGUUGUUGGUGAAGAAGGAUAGAGGUAGUAACUGGCCUUUAUUUGACGGUAAUCAACCAGAAAGUCACGGCUAACUACGUGCCAGCAGCCGCGGUAAUACGUAGGUGGCAAGCGUUGUCCGGAUUUAUUGGGCGUAAAGCGAGCGCAGGCGGAAGAAUAAGUCUGAUGUGAAAGCCCUCGGCUUAACCGAGGAAUUGCAUCGGAAACUGUUUUCUUGAGUGCAGAAGAGGAGAGUAGAACUCCAUGUGUAGCGGUGGAAUGCGUAGAUAUAUGGAAGAAUACCAGUGGCGAAGGCGGCUCUCUGGUCUGCAACUGACGCUGAGGCUCGAAAGCAUGGUAGCGAACAGGAUUAGAUACCCUUGGUAGUCCAUGCCGUAAACGAUGAGUGCUAAGUGUUGGGAGGCUUCCGCCUCUCAGUGCUGCAGCUAACGCAUUAAGCACUCCGCCUGGGGGAGUACGACCGCAAGG